AGGAGGAAGAUCACUCGGUUCUGUGCCGUCAGGUUCCAAACAUGAGAGCACACAGCCAUGAAGCCCUGCCCCAUUCAGCCAGCCCUGUGCAAAGUUUUCCAGAUAUAUGACCUUCCCUACUGUCUCCUGAACCCCACGGGACAUGUGGCAUUAGCCACACUUACAGGGCCUCAGAAAGGCUAAGCAGCUCGCCCAGUGACACACAGCAGAGGUGACAGGACCCCAUCCCCAGCUUUAGGUCACGGCUUCCCUCCUCACUUAUACGAACAGCAGACACUACACAGAACAGAGGCGCCAGGCCCUGCCCGAAGUGCUUAAUGCAUGACGUGCUUCAGCUCUGUGUCCCCACCCAAAUCUCAUCUGGAAUUGUAAUCCCCAGGUGUUAAGGGAGGGGCCUGGUGGGAGGUGAUUGAUUGGCUCAUGGGGGCGGAUUCCCCCAUGCUGUUCUCAUGAUAGUGAGGGAGUUCUCACAAGAUCUGGUGGUUUUGUAAGGGGCUCUUUCCCCUUUGCUUUCUCUUCUCUCUCCUGCCGCCAUGUGAAGAUGGUCCUUGCUUCCCCUUUGCCUUCUGCCAUGACUGUAAGUUUCCUGAGGCCUCCCCAGCCAUGUGGAAAUGUGAGUCAAUUAAACCUUUUUCCCAGUC
Molecule: long non-coding RNA, 641 nt
Filed under: Pongo abelii (Sumatran orangutan)
Lineage: Eukaryota; Metazoa; Chordata; Mammalia; Primates; Hominidae
Description: lincRNA
Source: RNAcentral